RNAcentral lists this transfer RNA (43 nucleotides) under Rhamnus saxatilis. Its description in RNAcentral is "partial tRNA-His". Lineage: Eukaryota; Viridiplantae; Streptophyta; Magnoliopsida; Rosales; Rhamnaceae. The record is from RNAcentral.
CGGAUGUAGCCAAGUGGAUCAAGGCAGUGGUUUUGUGAAUCAC